UUGAAAUAAACCUGAUGGGCUGUCGCUGGUUCUCCAGGGAACAUGUGCACGCCUUGUCAUCUUUAUGUCUCCACCUGUGCAUCUUUUGUAGACUCUCCUCUCUCCGGGAGGGUUUAUGUUUGCUUCAUUUGCCCCUCCAAUGUAUGUUGAUAGAAUGUAUGUGUGCAUAAUGAAAUCUAUA
This 181-nucleotide unclassified non-coding RNA is filed under the name uncultured fungus. RNAcentral's name for it is "sequence contains ITS1, 5.8S rRNA gene". Lineage: Eukaryota; Fungi. The record is from RNAcentral.